Molecule: ribosomal RNA, 460 nt
Filed under: uncultured bacterium
Lineage: Bacteria
Description: partial 16S ribosomal RNA
Rfam family: Bacterial small subunit ribosomal RNA
Source: RNAcentral
CCUACGGGAGGCAGCAGUGAGGAAUAUUGGUCAAUGGACUAGCGUCUGAACCAGUCAAGUCGCGUGAAGGAUGACUGCCCUAUGGUUUGUAACCUUCUUUUAUAUGGGAAUAAAAUGUUCCUCGCGUGGGAUUUUGUAUGUACCAUAUGCAUAAGGAUCGGCUAACUCCUUGCCAGCAGCCGCGGUAAUACGGAGGAUACGAGCGUUAUCCGGAUUUAUUGGGUUUAAAGGGUGCGUAGGUGGAUUGUUAAGUCAGUUGUGAAAGUUUGCGGCUCAACCGUAAAAUUGCAGUUGAAACUGGCAGUCUUGAGUACAGUAGAGGUGUGCGGAAUUCGUGGUGUAGCGGUGAAAUGCUUAGAUAUCACGAAGAACUCCGAUUGCGAAGGCAGCUCACUGGACUGCAACUGACACUGAGGCUCGAAAGUGUGGGUAUCAAACAGGAUUAGAUACCCUAGUAGUC